This is a long non-coding RNA of Oncorhynchus nerka (sockeye salmon), 3903 nucleotides long. RefSeq lists it as uncharacterized. The transcript has 2 exons. The record is from RefSeq and is a predicted model, not a curated record. NCBI's taxonomy places the organism in Eukaryota, Metazoa, Chordata, Actinopteri, Salmoniformes, Salmonidae.
UACAUUCCCAAUAUUCUUAAUACACAUUUCUAAGAGAAAUGUCAUAAGAGAAUAACAACACACUGUUGAAACCAUUUUUCAAAUGGACUUAUACUCCUUUAUCAUUUUGGAGACCUCACCACUGCGUUAUAGUGUCAGGGAGUUAGAGGGCUAACUCUUAUGGAGAAAUCCAGGCCAUACAGCAGACCCAAUCUGGUGAGAUUGGUUUUGACACAAGACAAAAACAAAACAAACAACACUUUUUCAUAUUUACAUAUUAUACUUGAAUCUCACCCAAUGUCUCUAGCCUUUCUAGCGAGGGUGAACAGGCCUCACCAGAAAGUCAGGACAGAGGUCAUUCAACACCAUUAAUUAACUGAGUGUUAUUUUCCCUUUGCUUUCAGACUCAUUAUUAUUAUCUGUGUACCAGGUUUACAUUGGGGUUUUCAGUACAUUUCUAGAUGGAUACUUCAGAAAAUUGUAUUUGUGUGCCCUUUAAAGGUGCAUCCUUUCUAACCCGUGAAGAACCACAGUAAACCCAAAUAAAAAGACCCCACACAAUAAAUCAGACACGGUAUUAAACACCACUAGCAAAUAUGCAUAACAGGUGGGUUGUGUGUGUGCUGGCGUUUGUGGCAAAACGUAAGGCAAAAACAAACAAAUGGCCAGGCCUUACUCAAUUGGGAGCUGGGUACCUUUACACUUAAUAGAACAUCAGAUUUUCACUAACUGCUCUCCCAAGGCAACAGCCUCUGGAAACAUUUCAAAGGGCGAGAUCCACAUCAAAGAGACCUGUACGGGCAACGUUCCCAAUGCUGCACCCUCAGCAGCCUCCUUUGGCACGGACGCAGUGGACAAGGCAGUCAAGCUAUUUCAACGAAGCCUGGUCUCUGAUCGGCUUGUGUUGUCACGCCAACUCCUAUGGACAAUGACCAUCGGUGUUGGCAAGACUGCACGAACAGAUCUGGGACCAGGCUAGCUCCAAUGUUCUGUUCUCACAGGCUUCUCAAUGGCUUAUAAAGACAUACUGUUUCGAUGUGUUUGCUGUACUCUUACCAGAUGUUACUGUGUAUGAUCUCAGGAUGCUUGUGAGAAACUGAUGAGGCGCUUGAAGCCGGUCGUGGAAAAUCAUCCCAAAUAUACAUGGCAACAAUGGAUUGCCAGAAGGUCAGCUAAUCUGCAACUGGCUUCUUCAUGUACGUAGCCUGUCAAUACAGUAGCCUGCAGUGUGUAAUGAAGCAAUGCAACGUAUCAAUCACUGACUGUCGUAAGGCCGUGAUCACUGCAAUUGCACGAUUACGGCGCUCAUAUUGGGAAAGUCUCAGUCACAAGGAGGCUAUCCUAAUAUGGGCACCGUAUGGAUUCCAGGGGACCUCACACGGGUGUGGACUGGGAGAACAGCGUGGGUCCAGCCUACUAUUACUUCACCUUCGGGGCCUGCUACUCAGAAGUGUAGAUUGACUAUCUCACUGGAGAUCAUGAAGUACAGUAGUAUGACCUUUUGUCAAAAUCAGUGAAAUGUUAAUUAAUACUACUUCAUACUGUACCUGCAGGCAUGCUGUAGAACUCGCAAUAAGCAUGUAUGAGCCUUUGAUUUAUGUUAUGUAUCAAGGACGUCAUUGGGAUUUAUAUAAUUAACUGUGUGUUUGUUACAGAAUCUCUGAACAGAUAUUGUGAUGGCUGUUGGAAGAAGCCUUAACCCAGCUCUAGAUAUAGGACGGGUACAGCACUGUAUAGCCCUCACAGGUCUAGUGGCUGUAUAUUUCUACAGUAUUAUGGAUCAAUAUGGGUCAUAUUCAGUAGCAUACAUUCCAAUAUGAGUUGAGACAAAGUUAACAUGGUGCUAUAUAUAUAUUCAGGAUUGAGGAGGCUUUGUCCAGGGCAUAAGUCUGUACACCAUAGAGGAGAUGCAGUUCUCUCCUGAGGAGGUUCUGAUGACCAGGGGUCCGUUCCAGUACAAGAUUCCUGCCCUUUGAUGUCCAACUGCUGGCCAACGCACAGAACCCACAUGCCAUCUACAUGUCCAAGGCAAGACAAACGACAUCCCUUGACACAUCCAUAAAGGCAUCAGUUAGGCCUAAAUACAGAUCAUUUUCUGGACUGAACGAUUUGCACCAUGCCACAUUGUCAAGUUCAAGUUUGUCGGGUAAAACACAAAAUGCUUUCACUCAAGGUUCCCGAGGAUUUACUUCCUAAGUGGUAAUUGAUGGUCGACCAAGUUGUUACAGGGUAUAGGCGAGCCGCCAGUGUUCUUGGCCAGCACCAUCUUCUUGCCAUAAAAGGAGGGAGUUGCUGCAGCCCGUAGAGAGAAAGGGUUAGGGGACAGCUUCCCUCUAAGCUCCCCCUGCUACUGCUGAGAGGAUAUGCAUGGCCUGUGACGACCAGUUCACUAAAAUGGUAACUUUUCUUCAUUUCGGAGGACACAGAUCAAGUCUAGUUCUAGACUAAAAAGCGGUUUGAUGGAAAUUUUCCAUUGAAAGUGCUUUUUAGUUCGGGACUAGGCUUAUUCUGAGUCCACUAACUGGCCCACGUCUACUGUUUUGGUCUCUCCGAUACCCUUUCGCCAACAACAUUCAUUUAACGGCAUUAUAUUAUAUCUCCACAGAAAGGAACAUUCAAACCAUGGACUAUCAACUGAAUAUGACUCGGUAGCCUCGUCAGACCUGGGCUUGGCUCCAACUGUUAAUCAUUCACCUCAUCUUAACGUAUCGUUCGGUAUUGGUGGGUUUCUUGCAGAUUGUGUGCUUUCUGGAUGACUCGGAAAUGUAUCUAGAAUAUGUGAUUGACGCUGUUGCUUGAAAUGUCACUCUUGUCCUAGGAACCAAGGGUAAGAUAAAUACACCAUCUGGUGUUGUUUUGGUCGUGUAUGUUUUGGGCUGUUUGGUAAAACUUUAACAAACCUGCAUCUGUGACCUACGGCCAAGAGCGGUCAACAUACAGAACCCAGAUUCACCUAAAAAAAAAUAGAACUGAACUUUGAGCGUUGGUUUAAUUCUGUGCUGUAAAGCAUUCUGAUGUCUGACUAAUAAAGUAUACAUUUUUGAAGCAUUGUAUUCAAGUUGAGAAACAUGCAAUUUAUUGAAUGUGAAAGGCAUACACGGCAUUGGAUGGAUUCACAAUUGGACAACCCUACCUUUUACAUCAAAUUUAAUUUGAGACAAACUUUUUUUAACAUUUUUUUUUUUUUUUUACCUCUUGAAACUCUGGGGGCAGUAUUUCAUUUUUGGAUGAAAAACGUUCCCGUUUUAAACGGGAUAUUUUGUCACGACAAGAUGCUCGACUAUGCAUAUAAUUGACAGCUUUGGAUAGAAAACACUGACGUUUCCAAAACUGCAAAGAUAUUGUCUGUGAGUGCAACAGAACUGAUGUUACAGGCGAAACCCAGAUAAAAAUCCAAUCAGGAAGUGCCCCAUUUUUUGAAAGCGCUGCAUGCCAAUGACUCCUUAUAUGGCUGUGAAUGGGCUACGAAUGAGCUUACGCUUUCUACAUAUUCCCCAAGGUGUCUACAGCAUUAUGACGUCUUUUUACGCAUUUAUGUUGAAGAAUAGCCGUAAGGGAUCACAUUGAGCAAGUGGUCACAUGAUGGCUCCCGUAGAAAAUCUUGCGUAAAGUACAGAAGUAGCCAUUUUUCCCAAUCGCUUCUUAUGAGAAACUAAUUGUGGAUAUAUUAUCGAAUAGAUAUGUGAAAAACACCUUGAGGAUUGAUUACACAAAUGCUUGUCUAGAUGCUGUAAAGAUCUGAGAUGACAGUGUGAUUAACAAAAGGCUAAGCUGUGUCUCAAUAUAUUUCAUUUGUGAUUUUCAUGAAUAGGAAGAUUUUCUAGGGAUAUUUAUGUCCGCUGCGUUAUGCUAAUUAGUUUGAGGCGAUGAUUACGCUCCCGGAUCCGGGUUUGAGAGUCGCAAGAAGUUUUGAAGCAAAGUAUA